This is an RNA transcript of Carcharodon carcharias (great white shark), 1446 nucleotides long. It is a transcript of the gene named N-alpha-acetyltransferase 40, NatD catalytic subunit, with no coding region annotated. The record is from RefSeq and is a predicted model, not a curated record. The transcript has 9 exons. NCBI's taxonomy places the organism in Eukaryota, Metazoa, Chordata, Chondrichthyes, Lamniformes, Lamnidae.
GGACCGGAAGUGUCCAUCAGCCACUUCCGUCUGCUACUGAAAGGCGGCCUCAGGAAGGACCAUGGGGAGAAAGUCGUCUAAAGCAAAGGAGAAGAAGCAGAAAAGACUGGAAGAGCGAGCAGCAAUGGAUGCCAUCUGUGCAAAAGUGGAAACAGCAAACAAGCUUGAUGAUCCAUUAGCAUCUUUUCCUGCCUUCAAAAAAUAUGACAGAAAUGGAAUGAACAUAGUGAUUGAGUGCAAGCGGGUAGCAGAUAUGGACUCCAGCACUGUGGACUGGGCAGUGGAACUGACCAAGACCAACAUGCAGACCAUGUACGAACAGAGCGAGUGGGGUUGGAAGGAUCGGGAAAAGAAGGAGGAAAUGACAGACGAGCGAGCCUGGUAUCUGGUUGCAAGGGAAGGAGAUAGUGCGGUUCCAGCAGCUUUCUCACAUUUCCGAUUUGAUGUGGAGUGCGGGGAGGAAGUACUGUACUGUUAUGAGGUACAACUGGAGAAUCGGGUGAGGAGAAAAGGGUUGGGCAAAUUCUUAAUGCAGAUUCUACAGCUUUUAGCAAACAGCACACAGAUGAAGAAAGUGAUGUUAACGGUAUUUAAGCACAACCGUGGGGCGUAUCAGUUCUUCAGAGAGGCAAUGCAGUUCGAUAUUGACGAAUCGUCUCCUAGUGUGUCUGGCUGCUGCGGAGAUGACUGCUCCUACGAGAUACUGAGCCGGAGAACCAAAUAUGGGGAGCACCCGCAUGGCAGUCCGCACUGCGGGGGCUGCUGUCACUAAAGGAUCAACGUUGACCACCUCCCCACCCCAAUGACCUCCAACCACUUGUCUCCAACCAAAGUUCCCCUCCCAAAAAGAUCUAUAGCGACAUGGGAAAAUGGAAGCUACAUGAGUGUUCAACGUACUAGUUGUUGCAGCGCAUGGAACGUUGCAAAAAGCUUUGUUUUAAAGACUGCACCAGCUGCCCAUGACUCGAUUCCUGGAUUGUGACACCAAUAAAGGUUGAAUGUAUCCUGCUCCUUUUAUGCCCUGAUCUGAGGCUGCUGGCAUCAAACUACAGAUUCAAUUUCAGGGGAUUCUAAACUGAUUGUGCAGUCCUGGAACAUUUUGAGAACCUUGACCGUUUGGAUUCAAUGACUACCUCCCAGAUUUGUGCAAAUGGCGGGUGCUCUCGUAACGUGAACCAGAAUGUCAUUUCAAGAUGAUGUUGGGCUUCGUGUCUUUUUCAAAGAGAAUCAGAGACUGAAGUCUAAACGCCAAUUGGCCUUUGUAUGGUCACACUUCCCUCUGAUUAUCUCUUCAUUUCUGAAUCCUGUUCAACUCCAUUUUUACACGCUGGGUGUUAAUCCUGGAGGAAGCAGGAAGCAUACAAAAUGUCUAAAAUCAUCUGCACCCUCUGGUUGUGGGUCUUGUGUUUUUUUUUAUAUAAUUGGUGAAUAAACCUUUUUACUGUU